AGCUUCGCAUAGUGGCAGUAUUGCAGCCAAUGAGGUUUAUCCGAGACGAGGCUAUUGCUAAUAGAAGACUCUUACCAAAAGUGUACCUUUGGAAUUCAGAUGAGACAAAAUGGUCAUGUCUUCCUCCAUAACCCCCAUUUCAAGGGG
Molecule: small nuclear RNA, 147 nt
Filed under: Rattus norvegicus (Norway rat)
Lineage: Eukaryota; Metazoa; Chordata; Mammalia; Rodentia; Muridae
Description: U4 spliceosomal RNA
Rfam family: U4 spliceosomal RNA
About the family: U4 small nuclear RNA (U4 snRNA) is a component of the major U2-dependent spliceosome.
Source: Rfam by way of RNAcentral